This 292-nucleotide ribosomal RNA is filed under the name uncultured bacterium. Its description in RNAcentral is "partial 16S ribosomal RNA". The record is from RNAcentral.
GGACUACCAGGGUUUCUAAUCCUGUUUGCUCCCCACGCUUUCGUACAUGAGCGUCAGUCUCAUCCCAGGGGGCUGCCUUCGCCAUCGGUAUUCCUCCACAUCUCUACGCAUUUCACUGCUACACGUGGAAUUCUACCCCCCUCUGCCAUACUCUAGCCCGCCAGUCACCAAUGCAGUUCCCAGGUUAAGCCCGGGGAUUUCACAUCGGUCUUAGCGAACCGCCUGCGCACGCUUUACGCCCAGUAAUUCCGAUUAACGCUUGCACCCUACGUAUUACCGCGGCUGCUGGCAC